UUCGGGAAGGUGUCCUAGCGGCGAACGGGUGAGUAACACGUGGGCAACCUGCCCUCAGCUCUGGGAUAACUCCGGGAAACCGGGGCUAAUACCGGAUACGACCUCUAAGGGCAUCCGAAGAGGUGGAAAGUUUUUCGGCUGAGGAUGGGCCCGCGGCCUAUCAGCUUGUUGGUGGGGUAAAGGCCUACCAAGGCGACGACGGGUAGCCGGCCUGAGAGGGUGACCGGCCACACUGGGACUGAGACACGGCCCAG
Molecule: ribosomal RNA, 254 nt
Filed under: uncultured bacterium
Lineage: Bacteria
Description: partial 16S ribosomal RNA
Rfam family: Bacterial small subunit ribosomal RNA
Source: RNAcentral